This 395-nucleotide ribosomal RNA is filed under the name uncultured bacterium. RNAcentral describes it as "bacterial SSU rRNA". It matches the Rfam family "Bacterial small subunit ribosomal RNA", at positions 335 to 722 of the family's 1533-position model. The record is from RNAcentral.
ACUCCUACGGGAGGCAGCAGUGGGGAAUAUUGCACAAUGGGGGGAAACCCUGAUGCAGCCAUGCCGCGUGUGUGAAGAAGGCCUUCGGGUUGUAAAGCACUUUCAGUGAGGGAGGAGGUAGUGUAGUUAACACCUGCACUUAUUGACGUUAGCGACAGAAGAAGCACCGGCUAACUCCGUGCCAGCAGCCGCGGUAAUACGGAGGGUGCGAGCGUUAAUCGGAAUUACUGGGCGUAAAGCGCAUGCAGGCGGCCUGUUAAGUCAGAUGUGAAAGCCCGGGGCUUAACCUCGGAAUUGCAUUUGAAACUGGCAGGCUAGAGUCUGUAGAGGGGGGUAGAAUUUCAGGUGUAGCGGUGAAAUGCGUAGAGAUCUGAAGGAAUACCGAGGUGGCAGAA